GCGUGAAUCUGCCGGGACCAUCCGGUAAGGCUAAAUACUCCCGAGAGACCGAUAGUGGACCAGUACCGUGAGGGAAAGGUGAAAAGCACUUCGAACAGAAGAGUGAAACAGUACCUGAAACCGUGCGCCUACAAGCGGUCGGAGCACGAAAGUGUGACGGCGUGCCUUUUGCAUAAUGAACCUACGAGUUACCGUAUCUGGCAAGGUUAAGGGUCACGAGACCUGCAGCCGAAGCGAAAGCGAGUCUGAAGAGGGCGUCGAGUCAGUUGCGGUAGACGCGAAACCAAGUGAUCUACCCUUGGCCAGGAUGAAGUCUGGGUAACACCAGAUGGAGGUCCGCACCAAUAAGCGUUGAAAAGCUUCUGGAUGAGCUGAGGGUAGGGGUGAAAGGCUAAUCAAACUUGGAGAUAGCUCGUACUCCCCGAAAUGCAUUUAGGUGCAGCCUUGGGAAUUACUACUGUGAGGUAGAGCGACUGAUAAGAUGCGAGGGCUUCACCGCCUAUCAAGUCUUGACAAACUCCGAAUGCGCAUCAGUUCUACCGCAGGAGUGAGGGCAUGGGUGCUAAGGUCCGUGCCCGAGAGGAGAAGAAUCCGGACCACCUGCUAAGGUCCCGAAAUGACAGCUAAGUUAAACUAACGAAGUCUGACUGCUAAGACAGCUAGGAUGUUGGCUUGGAAGCAGCCAUUCAUUUAAAGAGUGCGUAACAGCUCACUAGUCGAGGAAUCGGGCGUGGAUAAUAAUCGGGUAUGAAGUUGUCUGCCGAAGCUAUAGAAUCAGCAAUGAUUGGUAGGGGAGCAUUCCAUUCGGCGUUGAAGGCGUGGCGUGAGCCAUUCUGGAGCGUAUGGAAAAGCAAAUGUAGGUAUAAGUAACGAUAAAGGGGGUGAGAAACCCCCUCGCCGAAAGACUAAGGUUUCCUGAUCAACGCUAAUCGGAUCAGGGUAAGUCGGGUCCUAAGGUUCAGCCGAACGGCGAGACCGAUGGCAGAAACGGUUAAUAUUCCGUUACUACCUUUGAGGGUGACGUGGGGACGCAGGAGUGACACCGCCGCCGGCUGACGGAAUAGCCGGUUAAAGAGUGUAGACGUUGAUUUCCGCAGGCAAAUCCACGGAAAGAGUCGAACUUGACAGUAUGGAACGUCCUUCGGGACAAUCCAAUAGUGCGGGUAAGCAGACUGCCGAGAAAAUCCGCUAAACAUAACUUCAGAGGUACCCGUACCGCAAACGGACACACGUAGUCGGGUUGAAUAUACUAAGGCGCUUGAGUGAUUCACGGUUAAGGAACUAGGCAAAUUGACCCUGUAACUUCGGGAUAAAGGGUCCCAACGAGAGUUGGGCGCAGAGAAUAGGUCCAGGCAACUGUUUAACAAAAACACAGGGCUGUGCCAAUAUGAAAGUAGACGUAUACAGCCUGACACCUGCCCGGUGCUGGAAGGUUAAGAGGAGAUGUCAUCGCAAGAGAAGCAUUGAAUUGAAGCCCCAGUAAACGGCGGCCGUAACUAUAACGGUCCUAAGGUAGCGAAAUUCCUUGUCGGGU
RNAcentral lists this ribosomal RNA (1534 nucleotides) under human metagenome. Its description in RNAcentral is "bacterial LSU rRNA". It matches the Rfam family "Bacterial large subunit ribosomal RNA", at positions 436 to 1977 of the family's 2925-position model. The record is from RNAcentral.